This 164-nucleotide small nuclear RNA is filed under the name Carlito syrichta (Philippine tarsier). RNAcentral describes it as "U1 spliceosomal RNA (ENSTSYG00000029217.1)". It matches the Rfam family "U1 spliceosomal RNA". Rfam says of the family: U1 is a small nuclear RNA (snRNA) component of the spliceosome (involved in pre-mRNA splicing). Its 5' end forms complementary base pairs with the 5' splice junction, thus defining the 5' donor site of an intron. The record is from Rfam by way of RNAcentral. Lineage: Eukaryota; Metazoa; Chordata; Mammalia; Primates; Tarsiidae.
AUACUUACCUAGCAAGGGAGAGACCAUAAUCACGAAAGUGGUUUUCCCAGGGCAAGGCUUACCCAUUACAGUCUGAAUGUGCUGACACUGACGAUUUCCCCAAAUGUGGGAAACUCGACUACAUAAUAUGUGAUAGUGGGGCACUGCGUUCACGCUCUCCCCUG